Molecule: small nucleolar RNA, 142 nt
Organism: Acomys russatus (golden spiny mouse)
Lineage: Eukaryota; Metazoa; Chordata; Mammalia; Rodentia; Muridae
Product: small nucleolar RNA SNORA48
Exons: 1
Source: RefSeq, a predicted model, not a curated record
ACCCCUUGGCAGUGGGCAGAGACACCUUGUUGGUGGUAUUGUUCUUAUAUCAGUCAGGGGCAGAUCAGAGGGCAAUCCUUUAAUCAUCCUAGCUUAAUGCCUGGCUUAGUGUUCAAAGCUAUUUUAUACCUAGGAUGCAUAA